AGAGUUUGAUUCUGGCUCAGGAUGAACGCUGGCGGCGUGCCUAAUACAUGCAAGUCGAGCGAACCACUUCGGUGGGAAGCGGCGAACGGGUGAGUAACACGUAGGUAAUCUGCCCAUCAGACGGGGACAACGAUUGGAAACGAUCGCUAAUACCGGAUAGGACGAAAGUUUAAAGAUGCUCCUGGCAUCACUGAUGGAUGAGCCUGCGGCGCAUUAGCUAGUUGGUGGGGUAAAGGCCUACCAAGGCGACGAUGCGUAGCCGACCUGAGAGGGUGAACGGCCACACUGGGACUGAGACACGGCCCAGACUCCUACGGGAGGCAGCAGUAGGGAAUCUUCGGCAAUGGGCGAAAGCCUGACCGAGCAACGCCGCGUGAAUGAAGAAGGCCUUCGGGUUGUAAAAUUCUGUUAUAAGGGAAGAAAGGUGAUAGGAGGAAAUGACUAUCAAUUGACGGUACCUUAUGAGAAAGCCACGGCUAACUACGUGCCAGCAGCCGCGGUAAUACGUAGGUGGCAAGCGUUAUCCGGAAUUAUUGGGCGUAAAGAGCGCGCAGGUGGUUAAUUAAGUCUGAUGUGAAAGCCCACGGCUUAACCGUGGAGGGUCAUUGGAAACUGGUUGACUUGAGUG
RNAcentral lists this ribosomal RNA (628 nucleotides) under uncultured bacterium. RNAcentral describes it as "bacterial SSU rRNA". It matches the Rfam family "Bacterial small subunit ribosomal RNA", at positions 8 to 648 of the family's 1533-position model. The record is from RNAcentral.